UUCACCUAGAAACCAGAAAGAACCCACAGCCACUAGAGCCACUGGAAACAGGCCCACCAACUGUGGUCUCCACUAUGAACCUACUAUCAGGUGUAAGAUCUGGGACUACAUUCUAUUUUCUGUAAAUUGUGCAGAGCAAGUGUGUGGUGACCAUUUUUUCCCCUCGGAUUUUAAUCUACCGGAUAUGCCCAUAGAGUUUGCAGGAAUAACAGCUGGUUCUGGAAGCUGUUGGAGAUGUGAGAUAAAGACAGAGAAUAAAUAUAAAACAUUAAUAUUACUAUUUUGAAACACUGUGGUUUACUUUUUGGAAAGAGAAGAAAGGGCAAAGGGAUGGGAAACUAAUAUAGAUAUACCAAAUUAUGUGCAACACACACAAGAGAAAGAGGAAAAAGAGAAUGAGAAAGAGAAAGAGACAUUUGCUUCCCAGCCAUCCCAGUGUUCAUCAACAAGAACAACAAUAACAACAACAACAACAAAAUCAAAGGAGUGACAAUCUGUUCUUAGACUGUCUUUGCAGUUCCCUACCAGGAAAAAGAGUAUUCCUUUUCUGCAGCACUUAAAUCCUAUACUGGCAACAGUGAAAACCCAAGGGAAAUUAUCUACAAGUAUGAACAGACAGUCCCCAAUUUAUUUACGAGUUCGACUUAUGAUUUUUUUGACUUCACAGUGGU
This 671-nucleotide long non-coding RNA is filed under the name Pongo abelii (Sumatran orangutan). Its description in RNAcentral is "lincRNA". Lineage: Eukaryota; Metazoa; Chordata; Mammalia; Primates; Hominidae. The record is from RNAcentral.